CAGGGAUUGCCUCAGUAACGGCGAGUGAAGCGGCAAGAGCUCAAAUUUGAAAGCUGGCCCCCUCGGGGUCCGCGUUGUAAUUUGCAGAGGAUGCUUCGGGAGCGGUCCCCAUCUAAGUGCCCUGGAACGGGUCGUCAUAGAGGGUGAGAAUCCCGUAUGGGAUGGGGUGUCCGCGCCCGUGUGAAGCUCCUUCGACGAGUCGAGUUGUUUGGGAAUGCAGCUCUAAAUGGGUGGUAAAUUUCAUCUAAAGCUAAAUAUUGGCCGGAGACCGAUAGCGCACAAGUAGAGUGAUCGAAAGAUGAAAAGCACUUUGAAAAGAGAGUUAAACAGCACGUGAAAUUGUUGAAAGGGAAGCGCUUGCGACCAGACUCGCCCGCGGGGUUCAGCCGGCAUUCGUGCCGGUGUACUUCCCCGCGGGCGGGCCAGCGUCGGUUUGGGCGGCCGGUCAAAGGCCCUUGGAAUGUAACGCCCCCCGGGGCGUCUUAUAGCCAAGGGUGCCAUGCGGCCCGCCCGGACCGAGGAACGCGCUUCGGCUCGGACGCUGGCAUAAUGGUCGUAAGCGACCCGUCUUGAAACACGGACCAAGGAGUCUAACAUCUACGCGAGUGUUCGGGUGUCAAACCCGUGCGCGCAGUGAAAGCGAACGGAGGUGGGAACCCUCGCGGGUGCACCAUCGACCGAUCCUGAUGUCUUCGGAUGGAUUUGAGUAAGAGCGUAGCUGUUGGGACCCGAAAGAUGGUGAACUAUGCCUGAAUAGGGCGAAGCCAGAGGAAACUCUGGUGGAGGCUCGCAGCGGUUCUGACGUGCAAAUCGAUCGUCAAAUUUGGGUAUAGGGGCGAAAGACUAAUCGAACCAUCAGUC
RNAcentral lists this ribosomal RNA (861 nucleotides) under Penicillium sp. RNAcentral describes it as "LSU rRNA". It matches the Rfam family "Eukaryotic large subunit ribosomal RNA", at positions 69 to 949 of the family's 3401-position model. Lineage: Eukaryota; Fungi; Ascomycota; Eurotiomycetes; Eurotiales; Aspergillaceae. The record is from RNAcentral.